AAUAUAUCACCUGUUUCACUACUUCCAGGUGCGAGUGUGACCGACCAUCCGUUCCCCGUUUCGUAACCGCUACUCUCUCCACUGUCUCUUCCUCCACCCCCCUCCGGCGACCUCACAACCCAAACCCUAGCUCGCCUCCGAUGCCGCCCUUCUCCUCCGCCGCCCUCCUCCGCCCCCGCCCCUUCCCCUCCAUUCUCCCGUCGCACGCCACCGGGCACCUCCUCCGCCGCUUCCUCCCCUUCCGCGCCCUCUCCGUUUCCCUCUCCGCCCGCGAGGACCCCCGCAAGCCCGCCCCCGACAAGAACCUCCUCAAGGCUAAGGACGCUGUCAAGGACCUUCCCUCCGGCGCCGCCUCCCUCUCGCCCGGUCUCGACUCAGGCGACUACCGGAAGCUCCUUCCCAAUCAGGCCAUCGGCCUCGUAGCCGCCGCCCAGGCCAAUUUCAUGCGGGUCAUUGUGGAGUCCGCCGGCGGGCCCCCGGAAAACCCUGGCUUCCUCGUCUCUGAUUGGAGGAUCGGGAGGGAGUUGCUUUGCGUCGUUAGGGCUUUGCUGAAGAAGAUCAAGAGGAGGGUUUUAGUCGGGGAUAAGGUUCUCGUUGGUUCCAUUGAUUGGACCGAUAGGAGGGGGAUGAUCGAGGACGUGUUCAAGAGGAAUACCGAGGUCUUGGACCCUCCUGUCGCUAAUGUGGAUCAUCUGUUGGUGCUGUUCUCGAUGGACCAGCCGAAGCUGGAGCCGUUCGCUCUGACUAGGUUUUUGGUCGAGGCCGAAUCCACCGGGAUCCCGCUUACGUUGGUGCUGAACAAGUCGGAGCUCGUCGGAGAAGAGACUAUAUCUUCUUGGAAUGAAAGGCUUCACAGCUGGGGUUACAAACCACUAUUUUGUAGUGUUGAGCGCAGAUCUGGAUUAGGUGCUCUUGAAGACAUCUUAAAGGGACAAACAACUGUGAUUGUUGGUCCAAGUGGUGUUGGGAAGUCCAGUCUUAUCAAUUCCUUGAGAAGCAGUCAAAGCAUUUCUAAUGAGGAAGAAAUAAAUAAUCUUCUGGAGCAUUAUGAAAGCGGCAAGUGGCUUGGAGAGCAGCGAGUGGGCACUGUCUCUAAAAAAAGUGGCAGAGGAAAGCACACAACCCGACAUGUUUCUUUGCUUCCACUAUCUGUUGGAGGUUUACUUGCUGAUACUCCUGGUUUUAACCAGCCUAGUCUGCUCAAAGUAACAAAGAGAACUCUUGCAGAGACAUUUCCAGAGAUCAGGCAGAUGCUCAAAGCUAGUGAACCUGAGAAAUGUUCAUUUAAGGACUGCUUACACCUUGGUGAACCUGGAUGUGUAGUAACAGGAGACUGGGAAAGAUAUCCAUAUUAUUUGCAAUUGCUUGAUGAGAUCAAAAUCAGAGAGGAGUUUCAGCUACGGACAUUUGGAACAAAGAGAGAAGGUGAUGUGAGUUUGCAUUCUGGCUGUUGCUUAUGAUGGUACGAUAUGAAGUUGGAAUACCAUUAUGGAUAUUGGUUUAAGAGGGGACCUAGCUUCCAUCUUGUAGGAGAUACAUGGCAUCUGCAUUCUACAUCUGCCAACAUGGUGAAACCACGAGUACAAGGUAGGUGACUUGGGCACUAAACAAGCAGAGCCACGACUUGAACUUAAAAAGCACCGAAGGGUAUCUCGGAAACGUCUGAAUCAGUCGAUCCUGGAUGAACUUAAUGAACUUGAUGAUCUUGAUGAGGGCUACUGGGCAGAUAUUGAAGAAGGUGCUAGGUGAAGCUGGCUUAAGGAUGAUCUCUACCUGACAGCCAACAUCACACCUACUGCAAUAAAGAAAUCACGCGACACUGUGAAUACUCAAGUCUAUGCACCUGCUCUUCUGUAAAUUUUCUGUUGUAGAUUCUAAUUUGCUACAGUAUACAAUUAGGGGAUUAGUUGGAAAAAAAAUGUCGGUAUCUUUCCUUCUCAGCAUAGAGGAAAAUUUGCAUUUUGGCAGAAAUUAGCUUAUUUUACUCUCUGAUA
Elaeis guineensis (African oil palm) is the source of this 1994-nucleotide RNA transcript. It is a transcript of the gene named small ribosomal subunit biogenesis GTPase RsgA 1, mitochondrial, with no coding region annotated. Lineage: Eukaryota; Viridiplantae; Streptophyta; Magnoliopsida; Arecales; Arecaceae. The record is from RefSeq and is a predicted model, not a curated record.